CAUGCCUUGCUGCUUCCUGGUUCUUCACGUUUCACUGCUGUUCUUUUCUCUCAGCACUGAUCUCUGAAUAAUUGUAAAGGGGACAGGUCUCUCUAGGGCCCGGUGCAAAUUUCUACCCUAAAGUCUUUCUUUUAAAAGUGAGUGCUGCAGCAUGCCUAUAUUUAAGAUUUCUCAACUGGAUGUGCAUUGAAAGGCUACUAUUUUUAGACAGCAUUCAACACCUUCUGUGGAAAGGAGCUUGAAAACAGUGUCAGGGUGGGCAUUCACAGUUCAAGGUACUGAAAAGCACAGAUUUCAGAAAUCUUGGUCUAGGAAGAAAGUUCAGCGUCUGGGUAGAGUGCUGGGUCUGUGUUUGUUUUGCUACCUUGGUAUUGUAAUGAACUCCCCAGGUGGUUUUCAGGAGAUACUAUGACAAAAUCUUUCCAACCAAUUCUAAAGUCUGCUUUUAUGAUAUGUCCUCCUACCUUUUUAAUUAUGGUUUUGAGAACCCCACUGGAUUCCAUUCCAUAAACUAUUACAUAUAAAUAUUACUUUCCUACUUCACUCCAAUUAUUUUCCCCUUCCCAAAUGUAGCCCAGCAGUCCUACAUACUUUUUGUCUGCAAAGUUGCAUGCUUCUUCCAGUUCACACUGGUCAUUGCUUCUAUCUUUACUAAAUUCUUUUAUUCUAACUAUGAUAUAUUUGCAAGCAACGCAUAAAUUUUGGUGCAAAGGUAUUUUCCUUCAUAGAAGAUCUAUUUAUUAUUUCUUUAUGGUCAGUAGAUGCACUGUUAAGAACUGAUGAUACAUAGACACACUUCUUGGAUCUACUGGAUGUGGCUUGUUUGUAGGAACAGAGAUGAAAAAGCAGCUGAGUCUCCAACAAACAGUAUCCUAGGAAAAAAAAAAAAAAAGGAUAAAGCUGCAACAAAACUCCCUUGUUCCAGGUGCUGUUGUGUCUCUCUCCACAGCAACAAUAUUCAGCCCUGUCAGAGCAAGUCUGGCAGUUGACUGUAUUUGUUGUGUAGCUGGGAAUUGUGCUGCUGCUGAAAACUGUGUAUUCUAGCGCUGGCUUUCAGUGUGUGCUAUUAACUCCUUUCACCUUGGCUCUGCGAGAUGCUAUAAGCUUCCCAAAAGAGGCAGACAUUGAAUUCUGCUCGUUUUCAGCACUUGGACGUGCUUUCAUCGUUUCCCAGUUCCUGCAAAUUCCAAUUAGGUUCACCCUCUGCUGUGAAUACAGAAAUCAGCACUUUCUAUAGGAUUAUCAGUACAAUCCUAAAUAGCAUAAACCCCCAACGGAUGCUUUACACACUGACUAUAGCAACUUGUACAUUCCAGACUCAUUGGAAAAGUUUAAUUAUCUUGCUCUGCUUUUUCUUGUGUUGACCACUUUGUUGUUUGUACAGUAACUAACUGCUGUUUAAAUUGAAGACGUAGCAAGCCUUCACAAACAACCAAAACAUUGCUACAUUUCUCUGUUUCUUUGCUCAAAGAUCAAGAACACUUGAAGAUUUUGCAGAGUACUGACCACUGUGACAACUGCAGAGCACACCUUGAGGAGGUUGUUACAGCAAUGAGGAUGUCUCUGCUGACUUCACAGUGCAUUGGAUGAGCUGCUUUACCUGGUGAACAGGAGAUACGAAGGUGGAAACCAAGCUGUGACAAAACCUGCUUCUCACCGUAUUUACAAGUGUUUUGUUUCUCAUUAAUUAAUAUCAUCUGUUGGAGAUGGCCCUUGAGUUAUGAGCCUGUGCGAAUUUCUCAGCUUCCUUCCUUUCUUUCUACUGGGAAUGGGAAAAAGACAGUUGCUUUCAUCCAUCAUUACUCCUAUUUUGGAAAACUUGUUGCCUCCUUUGCCACUUUGAUUCUCGUCCUCUUCCUAUCUCCCUGGUAAUCUCUUUGUUUGUGAAGGGCAUUGCAGGGAUCUGUAUGCUGUUAUGAGUGAAUCAUAGAAAAUCCUGACUUGGAAGGAAUCCACAAAGAUCAUCAAGUCCAACUCCUGGCUCUGCAGAGGACAACCUAAACUCUACUAAGAGUAUCCUAAACUGUGCUAAGACUAAGAGCAUCAAUUCCUUUAAAUCAUCCUCUCAGUGCUCUGUGCUUCCAUUAGAACCAAACUGGGAAGAUUUCGACACCAAAUGACACCUACCCAACUCCACUGUCUUCCCACGACAGUUGAGGGUAGUGGCCAACUGUAAGGAAAUUCCAGGACUGCUCAGAGGCGUAUCUCAGAGAGCUCAUGUUUUAACAGGCUGCCCUUGAGAUAAUGGUGAGAAUUUGCAAGUUUUGUCCCCUCUCCAUUAUUUUGCUCUGUAUAUCUGCAGCAAUUAUCAAAAAGGAAGCACUGCAUGGGAUAGGUGGGACUUUGAGAAACAACUGUGUGAUAUACAUUCUGGGACUGGCAAAUGUGGUCAACAUAUCUCUGAACUCACAUGACAGCACUUUCAGUCUGAGUUUAAAACCAGUAACUGCAGGAAGAGAAGGUGGAAACCAGAGCUUGGGCUGGUCCCUGAGUCUGACAUCACAUCUUCAAACAAUGACCUGAAUGCAGGAGGUUUUAUAGAUUUCUCAUCUCUUUACCUAUUUUCAUUAAUGGAAAAGUUGCAUCUAAAGCAAAUGUGUGUUGGAGUGGAAAUUCUCUUCUUUCCCCUUUUAUUCCGUUUGCUUUCCUUGUUAGAAUGACAGAAUGAUUUGAGUUGGAAGGGACCGUCAAAGGUCACCUGGUCCAACUCCCCUGCAGUGAACAGGGAUGCCCACAGCUUCAUCAGGAGCUCAGAGCCCCAUCCAGUCUGCCCUUGAAUGUCUUUAAGAAUGGGGUAUCCACCACCACUGUGGGCAACCUGUGCCAGUGCCUUACCACUUUUAUUGUACUAUUUAGCAUAGUACUGAGUGUUCUAAAGUGCAAAGGGAUUCAUUCCCUCUCUGUCAUGUGAUACAGGGAUCCCACUUAUAGCGUCCCCAUUCCUUGGUCUGGCCACCUUAAACAGGGAAGAGCAAUAUGGACUGAAAAGGAUAUAAAUGCUUGAGAAGCCCUGGGGUCAGUAUACUGAGACGUGUGAGCUCCUGUGACACAGUGAAAAAGAAGAAAAUGAAUGGGUUAAUGAUUGGACUGGAUGAUCUUAGUGGUCGCUUCCAACCUUAAUGAUUAUUUGAUUCUGUGAAUGAAGUUGUAGGUGUAAAGCAUGCUCCAGCACAGAGACUAUUGACAGGAAUUACAUUGCUCAAUCCCAAAUCCCAUAAAGGAAAUAAAAAAAAAAGACUAACUUAAGCUUGUGGUUACAUUAAAUGGGAUUUAUCAGAAAGAGCUGAUAAGGACCAUAGCAAUUAAAAGGUGUUACACGGGGACUUAUUCCCUUUGAAGACUGGAUGAGCCUCACUUGAUUAUCUAAUCUGAUCUAAUUCAUCAUGCAGAUCACCGACUUUUGUUCUGUGGCUCUUAGAACAUACUCCAAAACUGCAGUGCCUGGACUGCUUGGAUCAUGGAUGGAUCCAUAGUGUUACAACCAUAGGUUUGAAGAAGCCUAGUUGGCCAAUUACUUCAUUAGAUUAGAGCAGAGAGAAGUUCAAAAUGGUUGAACUUGGAAUGGAAAGGAUCUUUGUGUCCAUUUGGCUAUGCUCUAGCAGAGACAUCCAGAGUAGGAUACCCAUGUCUAGGCCACAAAGGAUCAUGUCCAGAUAACCUUCCUAGACACCAGAAUGGAUGUGAGCAGCCAGUUCUGGAAGGCAAUGGAAGUCAAUGAUGAAGAUACAGACUUUUCCAUCUCUAGCCACUGAGCCAGAACAGGCUUUGUCCUUGAUGGGACAGUAGGUAACAGCUUUAAGUUGUGCCAGGGGAGGAUAUUAGGAAAAAAAAUAUUCUCCAAAAGAGUGGCAAUGCAUUGGAACAGGCUGCCCACGGAGGUGGUGAGUUCAUGGAGAUGUUCUAGAAAAGGCUAGAUGUCCCAUUGAGUGACAUAGUUUAGUGGGAUGGUGGUAAUAUGUUGGGGUUGGACUUGGUGAUCUUAGUUGCCUUUCUUACCUUAAUGAUUCUAUGAACCCUCGCUUUGCUGGCAUAGAGACAACUGAGAUACUGAAGUAUCUGCUUUAGAAGGUGUUCUGGUAAGUUGAGUCACAUAGGUCGCAAAAUUUCAGCUUUCUAUGGAUUUGUUCAGCUCUGUCCACUGCCACAUACAAAGUGCAUUUGGGAGCUUAAUGCUAGAGCCGGCAGGGGAGGAGAUGGGGAGGAAGCAGAGCAGGUUUUAUUGAUCACUUUCACCUCCAAGCUGCUGUUUCCAGCUUUCUGAGGACACCUUGCAGCUCACAACUCUGCUGAAGCACCAAGUCAAGCAGCUUGGCAGCAGCAAUCACUCACUCCUGUGCUUUAAAACCUUCCCUAAUGCCACUGAACUCAAAGUGGGAGAUCGUAUCCAAGGUGGAUGCUGGAGGUUCAGUGAUGGACAGCUACUCAAAAAAUAAACAGCCAUCUUUAUUGUCUUGCUGCCAAUAAGGACUGGUACAGAGUCGGUUGGGCAAAUGGAAGUCAUUGAUGGAAAUGCAGUCUGAAGGGCAGAAGGUGGAUAAGUAAGAGACAACAGGAGUGCUAGACAGGAUUGACUGUGCAUCACCAAUUAGAUCCAACGGGAAGAAACCAGUGAGUUUUUCAGGCGGUCUCCCCUUGUAAAGUUAAAAUAAUGUUACACCCAAUGACCUGCCCACCCAGGUUGGUUGCAAAAGCACCAGAAAAAAUGAAGAGCAAGUGGGAAAACGUGCAAGUACUCAUCUCUGAGGACACCAGGGAGUAAACAGGUCAUGUGAAGGCUUGGAUUCAAGUCAAGUUUAGCAGUCUAAGAGUUUCAGAUAGGCAUGAUGGUCUGGACCCUCACCAUCAUGCUAGAACAGGCAAUCUGGAGAAGUUGUGGUUGCCCAAGGGGUUCAAGGCCAGGAUGCAUAGGGCUUUAGGCAGCCUGAUCUGGAGACUGAUCUAGUGAUUGGCAACCCUGCCUGUGACAGGGGGAUUGGAAGUUGGUAAUUCUUGAGGUCCAUUCCAACCCAAGUUGUUCGGUGAUUCUGUGGUGCAUGGAAAAGUGAACUGUUGUAGAUGGGAUGAACUUGCUUUGCCUCAGUAAUUCCCUGCUCUCCCUUUUCAUUGCAUGACAGCACUAGCUGACUAUCUUGUGCUUGGCUUAACUCACUGAAAAAAAACCCAACCCUCCAUCAGAAGAAAAAAACAAGAAAAUCCAGGCUUGAAUGCCCAAGUGACAUCUUGUGAGAGACACGACCCACAAUCAGCUGUGAGAAGGGUGAGAACAGGAGGCUGAAAGGAGGGCUGCCUUGGGUGCUGAGCAAGAGAGAUUAUUUGGAGUGGAUCAAAGGAAAGGGAAGCAGGAGGUGAUAAUGUGGGACAGCCCUUCCCCAGGAUGGGAUCUGCAGGGAAGCAGCAGGAGCCCCAGAGACCAGGGCUCUUACAGCAGGAACAGGGGAAGAAGCAAUGCAUAACCUCUAAGGAACAGUCCCAGAGCAAGCAGGGAACAUCUGUAUUGAACAACACCUCAACAUCAACAUCAGCAGCCCCAGCUCUUAUUUCUUGUCAUUGCUUUAGAAAGAAUAGUGGUUCAUUUGGAGACUGUAGGGAUUACUGUCAAAAUAUUUGACUCCAGCACAAGAAGGAUGUGGAGCUGUUGGGGAGGGUCCAGAGAAGGCCACAAAGAUGCUCAGCACCUCUUGUAUGGAGGGGCCUUCCAGUGCCUAAAGAGGGUUCAGGAGAGCUGGAGUUCUUUAUCUGGGGGUGUAGGAACAGGAAAAGGUGUAAUGACUUUAAACUAAAAGAGACCAUAUUUUACAUGGGAUAUAAUGAGGAAAUUCUUAACCACGAGGGGUUGGAAUUGUAUGGCUUUUAAGGUCCCUUCCAACCCAAGCCAUUCUGAUUGUAGUCUAUGAUUCUAUGACUCUGGGGACCAUGAGAUGGCGCAGUUCCCCCGGACAUCAUGCCCACCCCAGGCAUCCUCCCCAAAACCAUCUCCCCAGCUGAGUGUUGCGUUAAGGAGCUGCUGCUUUAUACACUGUACAACUACAUCACCUAACCCCCGUUCUCUUCUCCCUUCCUAGGGAAUAAGUGAGGUUCUGUGGGGACAAGAAAGAGCAAUCCAGCACAGUGUGCUCUGCUAUUAGCAAGUGCGAGCCUUGAAGAGAUCCCUUUCUUAAAUGGGGCUUAAAAAAGGGUAAACUGAUGGCAAAUGCAUUUAAUUUUUUUUUCCCCUGGAAAGCACUACGAGGACAUUUUACUAGCUGAUAAUGAAUGGAUGCAGAACAUAUGGCAGAGGGUGUUGGACUUCUGUGUCACAUACUCUUAUCUCCAGGAGUGGGAAGAAAAGGUCUGAGGGCGUUAGGUCCUGGUUGCAGAUAGUGUCCAGUGCUGUGUUAGGGUCUUUUUCGGGCUGGUGGAGGGGUAGCAGCCCCAGUGUCCUGGCUGAUUUCCAGGCAGAAGGGCUGUGUUGACCCUCCCUUAUGUUCUCCAUCCAUUUGAACAGGAUCCAGGUGUUUUUUUUUUCUCCUGCUUCCCUUUCCAAGCAGUUGGGUCAUCUUGCUGUGUGUUCAAGUUGCUCCCCAAAUGGUUGAGUAGUUGUGUUUUGGUGAAAAAUCUGUGUCUGCUCAUGAAUUGAAACACUUAUCUCCAUUGCAGAGAGGACCUGUGUCCCGUGGGCUCCAUCCGAUGGAUAAACGUGAUUUGGGAUAUGAAGAGGAUUUCAUCCCUUGGAGAUUGUAUUUCAUAGGAUUAUAGAAUCGUUUGAGUUGGAAGUGACCUUUAAAUGCCACCUGGUCCACCUACCCUGCAAUGAAGAGAGACACUCACAGCUCCAUCAGGUGCUCAGAGCUCUGUCCAUCCUGAUCAGCUGGUCACACAGUGGUUGCAGCCAGCCUAGAGCUUGCCUUCCUUGCACAUAAUUUGCACGUGGAGUCACACGCAUAGGCUCAUUAUGGUGCUGCCUCUGGCAGUGUACAGGAACACUCCCUGUCAGGACAGUUUGGUAUUCAUUCCCUUCAGCAUCACUGAUUCCCAGCGUGAUACAGUCUGAGCUCACCCUCCUGUUGCACCAGCACAUUUCUCUGUCUUGAAAUAUGUCUAUAAAUGUCCUCCUGGCA
Molecule: non-coding RNA, 7097 nt
Organism: Meleagris gallopavo (turkey)
Lineage: Eukaryota; Metazoa; Chordata; Aves; Galliformes; Phasianidae
Source: RefSeq, a predicted model, not a curated record